RNA transcript from Nasonia vitripennis (jewel wasp), 2644 nucleotides. It is a transcript of the gene named pheromone-binding protein-related protein 6, with no coding region annotated. The record is from RefSeq and is a predicted model, not a curated record. The transcript is spliced from 11 exons. Lineage: Eukaryota; Metazoa; Arthropoda; Insecta; Hymenoptera; Pteromalidae.
CACAGCAGCAGCAGCAGCAGCAGCAGUAUAGCGGCAGCACAGUCGUCCGUUUCGCCUGUGAAUAUAUCUAUAUAUAUACAGCUGCUCCGGCGGUAGAGAGGUUAUACGAAGGGAGGGGCGGCGGCGCCCUAUCUCUCGCUUAACUCUCUCUCUCGCGCGCGGCGCGCGAUCAGUCGCGCACCCUUCCCGGCCGCGGAAACAGCGUCAGUAUAGCAGCAGCGCACUCCUACCUCGCUCACUAUUGUAACGUUCUAUACAACGCUGUAUUGUCCAGGAUGUCCGGCCAAUCGCUACUACUGCUCGCGCUCGGGAUAUUCCUGCCGCACUGCCUCGCUGGGACGCGGCCCAGCUUCGUAUCCGACAAGAUGAUUGCCACGGCCGCCAGCGUCGUGAACGCCUGCCAAAUGCAAACGGGCGUGGCCACUGCCGACAUCGAGUCGGUGAGAAACGGCCAGUGGCCCGAUACCAUGGAGCUCAAGUGUUACAUGUACUGUCUCUGGGAGCAAUUCGGACUGAUCGACGAGAAGCGCGAGCUGAGUCUCAACGGCAUGCUGACGUUCUUCCAGAGAAUACCGGCUUAUAGAGUCGAGGUCGAAAAGGCUAUUAACGAGUGCAAGGCCCUGGGUAAAUAUUACGCGACUGGCGAUACCUGCGAGUACGCCUACACGUUCAACAAAUGCUACGCCGAAAGAUCACCCAGAACUUACUACCUCUUCUGAACCGACCGAACCGCCAGAAUACGAAUUAAGGACGCCGUUUAGACGAUAAUCUCUCUCUCAAGUGUGCUCAGAUUAAAAAAUAAUGUCAAUUUCGAUUCCACACCCGCAUCAAGUAGUGGAUCGACGAGUUAUAUAUCAUGGACUGAAUCGCUGCAAUUCGUAGUAAUUGUGCAAUCGAUAUGCCAUACCGAGAAUAAUCGUAUUUAUAACGUAACAAUAAAAGAACACAAUAUCUACACGAACAGGAGCUUUUGCUACAACGAGCGUGUACAUCGUUAUACACAGAAUUUAGAAACAAAAACACGUAUAUAUAUACACGUACCUAUAAACGUAGCCUCAUUAUUUGUUCAUAGAAUACAUGAGCUGAGUUUUACAUCGCGAGUGAAGAAAAUGUGCUGUAAAUAUUUCGAACUCCAUAUAUUAUACCACGUAAUACCAAUUAUACGCAUCGUAAAUGUACACACCUGUAGUGCCGUCACAUGUGAGCUUGCGUUUGAGACAUACGAGAAUGAAUAAAGAACAAUCACAUCCAUGACGAUAGUGACGUGUAUAAAUUUAAUGUUCAAUUGCAACAAAUACGAGACAUCCCUAUGUAUAUCAGCGUUUACCUUUGAUCAGGGCUCUAUAUGACGGAGAGCUAAUUGAAAUUGACACAUCUGCGCGUCGCGCUUGGAAAUUACGACAUGUGUAACUGCACGCUAGGUACGCGCGACCGCUCGACUGCGUCCGCUAUACAUAUACCUAUACAUACGCGUACGUUUGUUUAGUCACGACACGUUUGCAUUAGAGUCCGCGCAAUUUUCGACUAUGACAAUCCCGACCGAAAGCAAUUGUCACGGCUCGUGUAUAGGACGAAUGUAGCCUCUGCAUGGCUCUCGUAUAUGUAUCUGUUUCGUGACCUGGAUAUCAUUAUUAUGAAUUUUUCACGCUUUAAUUUUGCAAGCUCGUAUUUGAUUGAAGUAGCUCGUAUACUUUUUUUUUCUCGACGGCGCGUGUAUUUUUGCAGUAAUUAAAAUUUUCAUUUUAAAGCUUUUCGCGCUCGUCGCACGAUAUAUAUACUGACGCGCGCUUUGCGCGUAUAAAAAAUGAAAAAAUACUUGGCAAUUAAGAGGGUGUACGUUUCUCUACUUUUUAAAAGCCGAGUAUAAGCGCGUGAUAUAAUGAGGUAGGAAAGCUGGAUAAUAUUGCGAAAUUACAGAAUGAAUCAGCUAUAAUUGCUCGGGUCAGUCGUUGCGCGAUUGCAUGUUUGCGAUCCAGGGGCUAAUGGUUAUUUGCAUACCCGGUGGUUAAUCCCACGUUUGUCUAUAUAACACUGCCACCCGCGAUGGCCGAUGCAUUCGUGCGUCAGUUUCCAAGUGUGCAAUUCUGAUCCGCGUCAAGAUGAUGAAGAACUUGACUCUGUGCUUUUUGGUCGUGGUUCUCGGCGUCAUCAAAGUUAACGGCAAUGAAAUCCCUCACGAAAUCCGACACAUGGUGGUCGGAGUUCGCGACAAGUGUCACCGAGAGACUGGAGUCGAUAUUGAGCACGUCGACAGAACAGUCGAGGGAUAUUUCCACCCCAGCGAACUGCUCGGAUGCUACUUCUCCUGCAUAUUCAACCACUUUGAUCUCCUUGACAAGGACGGUCACCUCGACUGGGACAAGUUGGUCCCGAGGAUCCCCGAAUCUUUCAAGGAACACGCCGAUGAGAUGAUCGCGGCUUGUCGCUCUACAACCGGAAAGGACCCCUGCGACUCCGCCCUGAACAUCGUUCAAUGCUUCCAGAAAACCAACCCCUCGAAAUACUUCGUCAUCUAAGAACACGGAGAGCGUCUUCUUUGUAUUACUACUACAUGCGUGCUUGCGGCACUUUUACGACUUGCAACGUAUACUACUAGAGUACGAGAAAUGUCUACGAGAGGUGCUCAAUAAAGAAAUAAGAACAA